RNAcentral lists this ribosomal RNA (402 nucleotides) under Triticum aestivum (bread wheat). Its description in RNAcentral is "partial small subunit ribosomal RNA". Lineage: Eukaryota; Viridiplantae; Streptophyta; Magnoliopsida; Poales; Poaceae. The record is from RNAcentral.
AUGGACAACAUGAUAGAAAAGAAUGUCGAACAAACAAAAGAGGCAAGAGCUAGCAACACUCGUCAAACCACCGCCGACCUCUCAAAGGAAAAACUCUCUGUUCCGGCGUCCGGCCAUCCAACCCAAAGCUGCGACCAUGGACCAUCCAUCUACUGCAUCACCGCCGCCGCGAGAAGGGACACCAGUGCCGAGGACACCAAGGCCAACGCGGACACGCCAGCGGCCGCGCCGGCGUCAGGCGCCGGAGCGGGGGCCGAGGAAGGCCCCAUGAAGUCCUGCGCCGACGCAGAGGCAAAGAAGACGGCCACGGCCAGGAUCAGCACGGCGAUGCGCGGAGCCAUCACGACCUUGCGCUGUAGCUUGCGAGUAGAUCGGAGGAUCGGCGAGGAGGGGAGUGAGUAG